UCGAGAAUCUUUAGCAAUGGACGAAAGUCUGACUAUGCUACGCCGCGUGAGUGAUGAAGGUCUUCGGAUCGUAAAGCUCUGUUAGGCGGGAGGAAUAUCCCAUUCCUAAUAGGAAUUGGGAGAUGACAGUACCGUCAGAGGAAGCCACGGCUAACUCCGUGCCAGCAGCCGCGGUAAUACGGAGGUGGCGAGCGUUACUCGGAUUUACUGGGUGUAAAGGGUAUGUAGGUGGACUAUUAAGUCGAAUGUGAAAUCCCACAGCUUAACUGUGGAACUGCAUUCGAAACUGAUGGCCUUGAGUACAGGAGAGGAGAAUGGAAUUCCCGGUGUAACAGUGAAAUGUGUAGAUAUCGGGAGGAACACCAGUGGCGAAAGCGAUUCUCUGGUCUGAUACUGACACUGAAAUACGAAAGCAUGGGGAGCAAACAGG
Molecule: ribosomal RNA, 430 nt
Filed under: uncultured bacterium
Lineage: Bacteria
Description: bacterial SSU rRNA
Rfam family: Bacterial small subunit ribosomal RNA
Source: RNAcentral